This 716-nucleotide long non-coding RNA is filed under the name Bos taurus (domestic cattle). RNAcentral describes it as "long non-coding RNA NONBTAT020299". Lineage: Eukaryota; Metazoa; Chordata; Mammalia; Artiodactyla; Bovidae. The record is from RNAcentral.
AUCAGACAGCAAUCUAUUCUAAAACAGAAAGGAAGAAGAAAGCGUUAUCACCUUGAAUUUUGAAAAUGCCAACGCUAAGCUUCCUCUAUAACUAGCUCCUCCUGAGCAGCUCCUGCCCAGCUGAGGGAGGGGGCCCUGCCUGAGAGCUCCUGGCUCUUCCCAACCUCGGAAAAGGUAACAUAAGCAUGUUCAUGUUCAAAAGCAUCUAUGGGGACAAAUUUAAAAAGAAAAAUAGACUGCUUUUAAAAGAGAUGCAGCAUUAUAUUAUGCACACAGAUGCUCUUCAAAUCAGCAUGAAUCCAUUUUUACUAUUUCUGAAUUUUGUAGGAUCUUGCUCUACUCACAAAGACUUAAGAACUCAUUGCUUUUCAAACUCAUUAAUAACUUGAGGAUUAUUUUCCACUUGCAUGGAAUUUUCAGUAGGCCCUCCUCUGAAAUGUAGGUAUUGUAGCAAAAAUAAUGGCAGUAGGCUGAAAGACACCGGGGCAAUUUACAAUUUGAAAACUUUAAAUAAUUUCUAAUUCCCUGAUUUAUUUUAUAGGUUCUGCCUAAUAUUGUUCAAGUCCCUUACUACAUAGCUUGGCUGGGCACAUUUGAUUUGAUUUAUAUUCCUAAAUCUUGAUGAGAGAGUCUACAUUCAUGAUAAGGGAGGUACUGGCCAGGAACACAUCCAGAGUCACUUUCUUUGCUACUACUGUGAUUUACGCCACACUUUA